UUCGUUCAUAGGGUAUGCUCUUAUUUCUUAGUAGAAAAAUUAUUAACGGAGUGAAGAUUUAUGCUUCUUUCUAUAAUUUCAUGUUGUUAUGGACAGAUGAGUAUAUAGAGCCCCCAAACACUGCAAAUGGUGUUUGUCUGUUACUAUCUGAAAAGAAAAUUAUACAAAUUCUAGGUUUAAAAAUAUAAAAUUAAAAGAGUUAGCCCCAAAAGCCACAAACUGAGGGCUAAGCCCUGCCGCCAGAAAUAGCAGGCCAUAAAGAUAAAGAAAAGGAAUGCAAGAACCAGCUCAGGCUAUCGAGGACUGAGCCAUAAACCAUCCAAAGACAUCCCCCCAGCUUACUCAGAGUCAUACUUUAACCAGAUGUCCUCCAGACCCUGAUAAGCCCCUACUUGUGCUUUUCAGCCAUUGUGUCCUACAGAGAGCAUUCCAAGAAACAGGACAGCCCAAGCCUAACCAGAGGUGUUUCAAAUACAAAUGCUCCAUCAAUUUUGACAAACUUUUAAAAAUAAUGAGGACCUAAAGACCCUACCCUUCUCCUGAUUUAGUAGCUCUGUUCCAGGAACCAGGGGGCCAUAAAACCUUCUGGCAUCCCCUUAUCUCCUGGAGCCAUAAAACAAUCCUGUAACUUGUGGUGCAUUCCCCUUUGACAUCCCCCAUCCCCUGGUGCUCACAGCCUCUGCCUUUAAAUACUCUUUUUCCCAGCCUCUCGGGGUCGACACCUCUGUCUCCUGCGUGGGAUAUGUGUCGGCCCGGAGAUCUCUGUAAUAGGUCUCCGUAAUAAACCUCGCCUUUGCUUAUUACAUCCAAAAUGGUCUCUCUGUGUCUGGGGUCCGCGAUUUCCCAAGACUUGAGUAAGGGUCUCUCUGCGUGGGAUCUUUCAUAAUAAUGGGGGCUCGUCCGGGAUCUGCGCGACUACCCCAGACUUCGAAGACCCCUUGGAGGCUAAAAAACCUACAGGUGAUACAGAAAGAAAUCUGCUCACAGCUGACAGCAGCCUAUGCCCUGGAGACCCCUGAGACAUCCCAUCAGUCGGAGACUGCAGCUACACUGAGCCCAGACACUCGAGCCUCGCUGGAAAGGACCAUACCUGGUGCUGCUGACCACCCUGACAGCCGUCAGUUCUCAGCCCUCACCAGCCGUGUACUAGCUGUUAGGGCUGAGAGCUGAGACCUAGAGGGAAAUUUAGUCACGUUUGUCCUGGGUUCCAUCGAGAUAGGUGUGGGGAUAGGCUUGAUUUCUAUUACAAAUGAUGUAACAUUACAUAUGUUAAUACUCCUAACACUUCUUGGGACUGUGCCUCAGAGAUCACAACCUGUAUAAGUUUAGAAGUUCUGAAAGACAGUCAUGACCUUGGUAUAUAGGUUUAGAUAGUGUCCAGAUAGAAUCCUGAUGCCAAAGACUUUUUAGCUGACCUCCAAGAAUACCUAACCUCCCUCUCAGAGGUAGUCCUUCAAAAUAAAAAAAGAUUAGACCUGAUAUUCCUUAAAGAAGGAGCCUGUGUGCUACACUGAAAAAAUGUUGCUUCUAUACAGACCAUUCAGGAGUAAUUAAAGACUCCAUAAAUAAACUUAAAAAAAGGUUAGACAAAAGACAGACAGAAAAACACAUAAGAGAUGGUUUGAGAGCUAGUUUAGUAGAUCUCCCUAGAUGACUACCCUACUCUCUGCUACAGCUGGGCCAUUAUUAAUAAUUUUCUUGGUUUUAGUUUUUGGCUCCUGCGUGACAAACAGGUUAACUGCUUUUGUUAAAAAUUGAGUGGGUGCUGUGCGGUUGAUGGUUGUGAGACAACAGUACCAGUCAGUUAGGACAACUGGUGAGACCAAAUAAGACUUGAUAUCAAAAUUCUAAGAUUAGAAUUAUUUAGUAGGAGAAGACGGGAAUGAAAAGAAAAUUAUACAAAUUCUAGGUUUAAAAAUAUAAAAUUAAAAGAGUUAGCCCCAAAAGCCACAAACUGAGGGCUAAGCCCUGCCGCCAGAAAUAGCAGGCCAUAAAGAUAAAGAAAAGGAAUGCAAGAACCAGCUCAGGCUAUCGAGGACUGAGCCAUAAACCAUCCAAAGACAUCCCCCCAGCUUACUCAGAGUCAUACUUUAACCAGAUGUCCUCCAGACCCUGAUAAGCCCCUACUUGUGCUUUUCAGCCAUUGUGUCCUACAGAGAGCAUUCCAAGAAACCGGACAGCCCAAGCCUAACCAGAGGUGUUUCAAAUACAAAUGCUCCAUCAAUUUUGACAAACUUUUUAAAAAUAAUGAGGACCUAAAGACCCUACCCUUCUCCUGAUUUAGUAGCUCUGUUCCAGGAACCAGGGGGCCAUAAAACCUUCUGGCGUCCCCUUAUCUCCUGGAGCCAUAAAACAAUCCUGUAACUUGUGGUGCAUUCCCCUUUGACAUCCCCCAUCCCCUGGUGCUCACAGCCUCUGCCUUUAAAUACUCUUUUUCCCAGCCUCUCGGGGUCGACACCUCUGUCUCCUGCGUGGGAUAUGCGUCGGCCCGGAGAUCUCUGUAAUAGGUCUCCGUAAUAAACCUCGCCUUUGCUUAUUA
Molecule: long non-coding RNA, 2539 nt
Organism: Rattus norvegicus (Norway rat)
Lineage: Eukaryota; Metazoa; Chordata; Mammalia; Rodentia; Muridae
Source: RefSeq, a predicted model, not a curated record